GUUGUUCGGAAUUACUGGGCGUAAAGGGCGCGUAGGCGGCCUUCUACGUCGAACGUGAAAUCCCCGGGCUCAACCCGGGAACUGCGUCCGAUACGGGCAGACUAGAGUUCGGCAGGGGAGACUGGAAUUCCUGGUGUAGCGGUGAAAUGCGCAGAUAUCAGGAGGAACACCGGUGGCGAAGGCGGGUCUCUGGGCCGAUACUGACGCUGAGGAGCGAAAGCGUGGGGAGCGAACAGG
Molecule: ribosomal RNA, 237 nt
Filed under: uncultured bacterium
Lineage: Bacteria
Description: partial 16S ribosomal RNA
Rfam family: Bacterial small subunit ribosomal RNA
Source: RNAcentral